Molecule: unclassified non-coding RNA, 295 nt
Filed under: uncultured bacterium
Lineage: Bacteria
Description: partial may contain 16S ribosomal RNA, 16S-23S ribosomal RNA intergenic spacer, and 23S ribosomal RNA
Source: RNAcentral
GGGGAACCUGCGGCUGGAUCACCUCCUUUCUGGAAUGCCGAGUAAGGCUGCAGGUCACGCAGGUCAGCAAUGAUCUUCGCAGACGGUGGUCGUGAAAGGCUUCUUGAGUCGCCCGCACUUCUCUUUUCCUCACUGAUCUUUUUCUUGAGUAAUGCCACGAUCUGCGUUGAUCGUUCAUUCGAUCAGCGUGAUCAGUGGCUACGCUCUUUGACAACUGACGGAAUGCAUGGAUGGAAAUUGGAGUCGAGGAAAUCACCGAAGCACAAAGUUUGAGAUCAAGCACAAAACGGCGCAC